AAUUUCUAAUUUUUGGAUGGGGUCCAUGGGUUUAGAGUCUAAACCCAUGGACCCCAUCCAAAAAUUAGAAAUUA
Xyrichtys novacula (pearly razorfish) is the source of this 74-nucleotide non-coding RNA. The record is from the annotation of a GenBank genome assembly. NCBI's taxonomy places the organism in Eukaryota, Metazoa, Chordata, Actinopteri, Labriformes, Labridae.